Non-coding RNA from Vicia faba (fava bean), 318 nucleotides. The record is from the annotation of a GenBank genome assembly. Lineage: Eukaryota; Viridiplantae; Streptophyta; Magnoliopsida; Fabales; Fabaceae.
AUGGAAAAUAAGAGUGAGAAAAUGGGAAUUGUUGCGCAUGGAGAUGAAAGAGAGAGAGACAGGAAGCCUUGUAGCCCGGGAAAUUUUGCCGUUGAAGCGUUCGUUAACCAAACCAAUCUCUGCCAACAAACCAGUACCUUUGUGUUCUUACUAUUAUUGAUUCUUUUUCUUCCUUGUCUUUUUUAUUAUUGUUUUUUUUUUGUCUGUGUGUGUUUUUUUUUACAUUACUACGUGUUAAUCGCAAUCAGGUCCGGUUUCAACUCAAAAAUAUUCGGAUCGUCACUCAAUUACACUCACAAACUGGUCCUUUUAUUUAAC